UAUUGCACUUGUCCCGGCCUACU
RNAcentral lists this microRNA (23 nucleotides) under Lytechinus variegatus (green sea urchin). RNAcentral describes it as "lva-miR-92a-3p". Its record names the gene lva-miR-92a-3p. RNAcentral also lists the same sequence under 1 other name. Lineage: Eukaryota; Metazoa; Echinodermata; Echinoidea; Temnopleuroida; Toxopneustidae. The record is from miRBase by way of RNAcentral.